Molecule: long non-coding RNA, 855 nt
Organism: Schistocerca piceifrons (Central American locust)
Lineage: Eukaryota; Metazoa; Arthropoda; Insecta; Orthoptera; Acrididae
Exons: 3
Source: RefSeq, a predicted model, not a curated record
AGUUAAGUGGAUUUUAAUCCUAGCAGUGAAACCUCCACCACUGUGACAUCUCGCGAUUUUCCAGUGACUUGGGUUCGUGUUGCUGCUCGCAGUGUCGCCGAGACGAAGAGCAGCGAGGCGACUGCUUGGUGAAGGCGGAUCUAAUUAGUUUUCCUCGACUUCAUGUUACUAAUUGCUGAAUUCUAUGUGUUACUAUUUGUUAAGUUCAACCAGUGAUAUUUUUCCUGCCUGGUGGCCUCUAACGCCUCUGUGACCUGCCCUGGAGGUUAGUGUAUGUAACGUCAGUGUAUGUUUCCUCGCCUUGCCGCUGGUGUCCGGUAAAGCGGGUAGUUUUCACAGUUUCCUUGAUUUUUAGGUCGGUUGGUGUUUCUUCUACUCUGACAGUAGUGGUUUCUUUCUCCUUUCAGACGCUCUAAACACAGCAUUCUAAGGACGUAGUGCUGACCUCUAGUUCCGGCUUUGACAUGGUGUUCUAUCGUGGUUAUCGGACGUUAGGCUGACCGUGUCGCCAUCGGUAGCUCUUGGUGGCCAGCUUUUCUAUGGAGGAUUUCGAGGAGAAGGCGCUGGAAUCUGCUAGCUCGAAGCCCACAGUAUUUUGGAGAGAUAGGCUAUUUGCGCCAGAAUAACACUUACUCUUCGAUGCUAUUCUGCGUGCUGCCGCCGAGAAGCUCCUUCUCUGCUCUGGCUGCUAAAGCUGAAGUGUCGUACGGCUGUCCGGACUGCUGGAACACCCUGUUCAGCGGCUGCUACUGAUCUCGCCCGCUGCUGGCUGCCGAUCCUCGCACCUGACGCGGACAACUGCGGCCGCUGGCUCUGCCUCCCCGCGCUGCGUUGCGUCGCCUCGUAGCAUGCCGA